GGGCGAGUGGUGGAACGGUAGACACGAUGGACUUAAAAUCCAUCGCCCCUUCAAGGGGCGUGAGGGUUCGAAUCCCUCCUUGCCCACCA
RNAcentral lists this transfer RNA (89 nucleotides) under Candidatus Poribacteria bacterium. RNAcentral describes it as "tRNA-Leu". It matches the Rfam family "tRNA". From Rfam's summary of the family: Transfer RNA (tRNA) molecules are approximately 80 nucleotides in length. The record is from RNAcentral. Lineage: Bacteria; Candidatus Poribacteria. RNAcentral also lists the same sequence under 1 other name.